GAAAAAACGUUGAAUAAGAAAAGUAGCGCAUGGAUAGCUUCUGACAGAGAGCCGGGGAACAGCUGGAAACCGGUGUUGCACAUGCGUGAAUGGACUUAUGAGUGGCCAUCUGAAAAGAAGGCCCGUCUGCCCCGCGUUAUUGGGGUUCAAGUGGAAGCUGAGAGCUUCAAGAUGAGGUGGCACCGCGGUCGAUCCGUCCUCUGU
RNAcentral lists this non-coding RNA (204 nucleotides) under Planococcus rifietoensis. Its description in RNAcentral is "T-box sequence". It matches the Rfam family "T-box leader". From Rfam's summary of the family: Uncharged tRNA acts as the effector for transcription antitermination of genes in the T-box leader family. T-boxes are found upstream of many aminoacyl-tRNA synthetase genes and some amino acid biosynthetic genes usually in Gram-positive bacteria. The anticodon of a specific tRNA base pairs to a specifier sequence within the T-box motif, and the NCCA acceptor tail of the tRNA base pairs to a conserved bulge in the T-box antiterminator hairpin. Lineage: Bacteria; Bacillati; Bacillota; Bacilli; Caryophanales; Caryophanaceae. The record is from RNAcentral.